Molecule: ribosomal RNA, 386 nt
Filed under: uncultured Anaerolineaceae bacterium
Lineage: Bacteria; Bacillati; Chloroflexota; Anaerolineae; Anaerolineales; Anaerolineaceae
Description: bacterial SSU rRNA
Rfam family: Bacterial small subunit ribosomal RNA
Source: RNAcentral
GACAUAUAGGUUGUAGGGAACUGAAAAGGGACCGACCCUUCGGGGAGCCUAUACAGGUGUUGCAUGGCUGUCGUCAGCUCGUGUCGUGAGAUGUUCGGUUAAGUCCGCUAACGAGCGCAACCCUCGUCGUAUGUUAUAUGUGUCACACGAGACUGCCGGUAAAAAGCCGGAGGAAGGUGAGGAUGAUGUCAGGUCAGCAUGACCUUUAUAUCCAGGGCUACACACACGCUACAAUGGUCUGUACAAUGGGUAGCCAAGCCGCGAGGCGGAGCCAAUCCUGAAAGCAGGCCUCAGUUCAGAUUGCAGUCUGCAACUCGACUGCAUGAAGCCGGAGUUGCUAGUAACCGCAGGUCAGCAAUACUGCGGUGAAUACGUUCCCGGGUCUU